AGUUGGAGUCAGCAUCACCUAAGCAAAAGGAGCGACAGAGGAAUGGCAGUUUCUGAGAGGAAAAUCAAAGUGUCACUGCCCCCCGGAGAGAUGGCUGUGGAUUCCCGGCAGGCAGAAACAACUGCUGCCUCCUCUGCUCAGAGUCAUUCCGGAAUUCGGUCCUGAGGUUGCCAAGUUUAAUCCUCAACUCCUGAAAGUUCCCAGAAGCAGACAUUCUUUUUUUUUUUUUUUUUUUUUUUGCAUUGUUCUGUUCCGGGAGCUACGAACUCAAGUGUCUACAGAACAUGUCAGAUAGCAUAAACAAGAGAAGUGGCCAAGGCUAAUAAAGAUCAUUCAGCUCUCUUGGUCUGGCUUUUG
Molecule: long non-coding RNA, 357 nt
Filed under: Sus scrofa (pig)
Lineage: Eukaryota; Metazoa; Chordata; Mammalia; Artiodactyla; Suidae
Description: lncRNA (ENSSSCG00065018701.1)
Source: RNAcentral